Drosophila melanogaster (fruit fly) is the source of this 873-nucleotide non-coding RNA. The record is from Ensembl. Lineage: Eukaryota; Metazoa; Arthropoda; Insecta; Diptera; Drosophilidae.
AGCAAAUAAGUGCGCCACCUUUGCCGCGGGUUUAGGCCAAGAUCGAUGGAGCUGCUGCCCUGGGGCUUACCAAAUUAUUUAGUUGCGGCAUCCCUGUGCUAAUUGCCUGACGGUAAAGUGCAACGGCAGCAAACCAUCAAUCCCGAGAGUUCCAAGCCGAUGAGCCAUUCCAUACCAUACCAGAGCAGACCAGACCAGACCAGAGACCAUACCAUAGUUGGGGUAAUUUCUGGCCAAGCCACCGCCGGGCACAAAGUAUACAGAGUGCCAGCGAUCGAUCCAAGAACCAAGUCAUGGGAAAAUUUCCGUACACACACAAUUUGGGGCUUGGCUUACGGGCGGAGGAAGAAAAAACUCAGUUUCGCACGCAAAUUAAGAUAAUCGAAAGCAAAUGCAGCAACGGUAGCCGCUCUCCAUGGUUAAGCUCAGACUAAAAAAAAAACCAAAAACAAAAAAAAGGAAACCUAAAGAAGAAAAUCAGCAGAAAGAAACGGGUUUAGUACCCGGUAGCAACAAAUCAUAAAAAUAUGAAAAAUUAUGCGGCGGCGUCGGAGGAGAUUCGCAACUCUCAACUCGCAGCUCCCGCAAAUGACGAUGUCCAAGAGCCAAUCAUCGAAGUGUGCUUUUGGCAGUCCAUCAUUAAAUUGUGGCUAAGAUUCCAAUCAAACAUACAAGAGCAUCGGCAUCGAACGGCAGACGGUAGCAGCUUGAUUUCAUUUCUUCUGAGGCAAUGAAAUCUCAGCUGCGGUCGCUCUGUGGCUUAUUUUCGGUGUGGUUUGCUCCAGAGUGGUGCCGCAUUCGCAUUGUGGGGCAGAGUGGUGUGGCAUGGCGCGGUGGUGGUGGUGUGGCUCGCAUUUUUGAAAUAUAUGCGUC